Molecule: ribosomal RNA, 398 nt
Filed under: Hydrophis stricticollis (collared sea snake)
Lineage: Eukaryota; Metazoa; Chordata; Lepidosauria; Squamata; Elapidae
Description: partial 16S ribosomal RNA
Rfam family: Bacterial large subunit ribosomal RNA
Source: RNAcentral
CCUGCCCAGUGAAUAAUUAAACGGCCGCGGUACCCUAACCGUGCAAAGGUAGCGUAAUCAUUUGUCUAUUAAUUGUAGACCCGUAUGAAAGGCAUAAUGAGGGUUUAACUGUCUCUUUUAAUAAAUCGAUUAAACUGAUCUCCUAGUCCAAAAGCUAGGAUACCAACAUAAGACCAGAAGACCCUGUGAAACUUUAACUAAAAUAUUAAAGCCCAUAAUAACUACUUUAGGUUGGGGCGACCUUGGAAAACAAAAGAACUUCCAUACACAUAUUAUACAAUAAUAUAUCACCGGCCAACAAGCCUACAAUGACCCAGCACAGCUGAUAAUUGAACCAAGCUACUCCAGGGAUAACAGCGCUAUCUUCUUCAAGAGCCCAUAUCAAAAAGAAGGUUUAC